Long non-coding RNA from Panthera uncia (snow leopard), 1522 nucleotides. RefSeq lists it as uncharacterized. NCBI's taxonomy places the organism in Eukaryota, Metazoa, Chordata, Mammalia, Carnivora, Felidae. The transcript has 4 exons. The record is from RefSeq and is a predicted model, not a curated record.
CGCUUCCAGGGCCCCUGCCGCAAGCCCACCUGCCCGGUGAGCGCCGUGGUCAUGGCAACCAGAGAGGCUGGGAGAGUGAUUGGUCCCCUCGCUGCCACGCCCCUACGCCACCGCUUCCCAGUAACUGAGGCAACCAAGAGGACCGGCCCUCCUCCUUUCAUCCCUCCUAGAGAGCGCUGUGUAGGAGAGGGACGUGCCUUCUCUCUCGCUAGCGAAAUACCACUUCUCCAAAAUGGUGGCUACUCUCAUACAAUAAUUCAUGGAGAGAGGGAGUAUGAAGUCAUUUCUAAACUCUUCUGGAUGAGGAUGGGCUGUCACUGAAGCCACUUCCGCUGUACGAUGGUCUGCCCGCCCUUGCCAAUGAUGGAGCCUGCUGCGUAGCUGGGGAUCAGCACCUUCAGGAAACCCUUCUACAGAACCCAGGACAUGCUAACCUCUGUUCCAACUACUGUAGGCAUACCAGUUCUUUGAAUUUCCACACUGGCGCCAUGAAAGACGUACUUUUUGAAAGCCCAUUUUACAGACAAGGAAACAAAGGAGGAAACUGAGGCGCAGAGACAGUGAAGGCACCAGCCCAAGGUCAGCUGCUCAAGGGCACCAAGACAGCCACUGGCUUGAGGGUCCAAUGCAAUCCUGCUUCCUUCUUGGCCCCCACUUGCUUAGCACCUUCCGAUCGUGCUAGCUAAGACCAACACACUCAAGGACAGUCUCCAAGACCUACAGGUGGUGACAGUGGCCACUGUGGGACUGUGGCCAUUCUUUUUUAUGGACCAGUCUUCUCGGUCAUGUGUAAAGCACUUUGUGAAUGCACUCAAGGCACAUGCCUAACCUCUCCUACCUUCUAACCAAACUGUUGCCCCUAAGUUCUCAUAGGGUGGGAAUUCUGGAGACUUCUCAGUAGAAGAUCCUCUGUGAUUUGGCCCUGCAUUUCUUUCCAGCAUCACGUCCUCAUCUUCCACUAUGUGCAUCAGACCAUCAGACAUAGCUUUGCUCCUCAAACGUUCCCUCCGCCCCCCCCCCACCUCAGGGCCUUUGCACAUUCGCUUUGCUUGGAACUCCCCUUCCACAGUGAAUUCCUCUUGUCCUUCAGGCCCUCACUCAAAUAUUGCUUCUUCUUGGAAGCUUUCCUGGAACCCAGAGGAGGAGUGGAUCCCUCCUCCCUGUCUUAUGCCUUCAGAGCAAUGUAUCACAGAAGGCCCAUUGUGGGUCAUGUCACUGGAGCUCACCCUCGUGUCCCAGGGACUCGUGUGGUGCCUGGCACAUAGUAGGUAUGCAAUAAACCCAGGGGAAAGGAAGGGAGGGACCAGGCCAUUCUGCUUCCAAAGCUUAAGGUCUUAAACCAUCCUCAGUGGUUUUUUAAUUUUUUUCUUUUAACCAAAGGAAACCUAUUUUCAAUGUCUCACAUGAAACUCCAACACACAGAGCAGAAAAGAGAAACUGUUCUGGUAAAAGUGGGGGCAGGGUGGGGGGCUGGGAGCCCUGCCCACCUCUGCUUGAUCCCUUAAGACGGAAGGUUCUGAAC